This 30-nucleotide non-coding RNA is filed under the name Mus musculus (house mouse). Lineage: Eukaryota; Metazoa; Chordata; Mammalia; Rodentia; Muridae. The record is from RNAcentral.
UGCUACAGGUGGCGUUAUAGGAUGCUUUUU